This 482-nucleotide ribosomal RNA is filed under the name uncultured bacterium. Its description in RNAcentral is "partial 16S ribosomal RNA". It matches the Rfam family "Bacterial small subunit ribosomal RNA", at positions 30 to 507 of the family's 1533-position model. The record is from RNAcentral.
AUUGAACGCUGGCGGCAUGCUUUACACAUGCAAGUCGAACGGUAACAGGCCGCGAGGUGCUGACGAGUGGCGAACGGGUGAGUAAUGCAUCGGAACGUGCCCAGUCGUGGUGGAUAACUACUCGCAAGAGUAGCUAAUACCGCAUACGAUCUAUUGUUGAAAGCGGGGGACCGUAAGGCUGCGCGCGAUUGGAGCGGCCGAUGUCAGAUUAGGUAGUUGGUGGGGUAAAGGCUCACCAAGCCAACGAUCUGUAGCUGGUCUGAGAGGACGACCAGCCACACUGGAACUGAGACACGGCCCAGACUCCUACGGGAGGCAGCAGUGGGGAAUUUUGGACAAUGGGCGCAAGCCUGAUCCAGCAAUGCCGCGUGCAGGAAGAAGGCCUUCGGGUUGUAAACUGCUUUUGUACGGAACGAAACGGCUCUGGUUAAUACCCGGGGGUAAUGACGGUACCGUAAGAAUAAGCACCGGCUAACUACGUG